Molecule: long non-coding RNA, 233 nt
Filed under: Lathyrus oleraceus (garden pea)
Lineage: Eukaryota; Viridiplantae; Streptophyta; Magnoliopsida; Fabales; Fabaceae
Description: Pisum sativum (pea) long non-coding RNA (PSAT_LNC037613)
Source: RNAcentral
AAAAUGUUGUUUUCCUGAUAUGGCGAUCACCAUUAAGCAUAUAGGGAACGUCAUUUGCCUAAAUUGCUGGAAUUUUUAUUUGAAGGUAAUGGCGAACGCCAUUAGCAUAAUGGCGAACACCAUUAACCUAAAAUACAAAAAAUUUCUAGCUUUUUCUUAAGAUUACUGCAGGUAAGUGCUCCUAAGGCCAUAUAAUAGUAAAUGAAAUAAUUAAAACUAGUAGCAUAAUUAAG